GGCGAGAGUAGUACUAGGA
This 19-nucleotide small nuclear RNA is filed under the name Arabidopsis thaliana (thale cress). RNAcentral's name for it is "snRNA_17509". The record is from RNAcentral. Lineage: Eukaryota; Viridiplantae; Streptophyta; Magnoliopsida; Brassicales; Brassicaceae.